This 270-nucleotide ribosomal RNA is filed under the name uncultured archaeon. Its description in RNAcentral is "partial 16S ribosomal RNA". It matches the Rfam family "Archaeal small subunit ribosomal RNA", at positions 477 to 747 of the family's 1478-position model. The record is from RNAcentral.
CUGCAGCUCAAGUGGUGGCCGCUAUUAUUGGGCCUAAAACGUCCGUAGCCGGUUUAGUAAAUGCCUGGGUAAAUCGUGUAGCUUAACUAUACGAAUUCCGGGUAGACUGCCAAACUUGAGACCGGGAGAAGCUAGAGGUACUCCUGGGGUAGAGGUGAAAUUCUGUAAUCCUGGGGGGACCACCAGUGGCGAAGGCGUCUAGCUAGAACGGGUCUGACGGUGAGGAACGAAGCCCUGGGGCGCAAACCGGAUUAGAUACCCGAGUAGUCC